AUACGUAGGGUGCGAGCGUUGUCCGGAAUUACUGGGCGUAAAGAGCUCGGAGGUGGUUUGUCGCGUCGUCUGUGAAAUUCCGGGGCUUAACUCCGGGCGUGCAGGCGAUACGGGCAUAACUUGAGUACUGUAGGGGAGACUGUAAUUCCUGGUGUAGCGGUGAAAUGCGCAGAUAUCAGGAGGAACACCGGUGGCGAAGGCGGGUCUCUGGGCAGUAACUGACGCUGAGGAGCGAAAGCAUGGGUAGCGAACAGGAUUAGAUACCCUGGUAGUCCAUGCCGUAAACGGUGGGCGCUAGGUGUAGGGGUCUUCCACGACUUCUGUGCCGUAGCUAACGCAUUAAGCGCCCCGCCUGGGGAGUACGGCCGCAAGGCUAAAACUCAAAGGAAUUGACGGGG
This 398-nucleotide ribosomal RNA is filed under the name uncultured bacterium. RNAcentral describes it as "partial 16S ribosomal RNA". It matches the Rfam family "Bacterial small subunit ribosomal RNA", at positions 523 to 918 of the family's 1533-position model. The record is from RNAcentral.